This 253-nucleotide ribosomal RNA is filed under the name uncultured bacterium. RNAcentral's name for it is "partial 16S ribosomal RNA". It matches the Rfam family "Bacterial small subunit ribosomal RNA", at positions 524 to 776 of the family's 1533-position model. The record is from RNAcentral.
UACGUAGGGGGCUAGCGUUGUCCGGAAUCAUUGGGCGUAAAGCGCGUGUAGGCGGCCCGGUAAGUCCGCUGUGAAAGUCCAGGGCUCAACCCUGGGAUGCCGGUGGAUACUGUCGGGCUCGAGUCCGGAAGAGGCGAGUGGAAUUCCGGGUGUAGCGGUGAAAUGUGUAGAGAUCCGGAGGAACACCAGUGGUGCAGACGGCGCCCUGGGCCACUACUGACGCUGAUAUACGAAAGCGUGGGGAGCGAACGGG